ACCCAGCUGACGAGUCCUAAGUAGGACGAAACGCGCGUCCUGUAU
This 45-nucleotide non-coding RNA is filed under the name Schistosoma haematobium. The record is from RNAcentral. Lineage: Eukaryota; Metazoa; Platyhelminthes; Trematoda; Strigeidida; Schistosomatidae.